AGCUUUGUGCAGUGGCAGUAUCAUAGCCAAUGAGGUUUAUCCGAGGCGUGAUUAUUGCUAAAUGGA
This 66-nucleotide small nuclear RNA is filed under the name Fukomys damarensis (Damara mole-rat). Its description in RNAcentral is "U4 spliceosomal RNA". It matches the Rfam family "U4 spliceosomal RNA", at positions 1 to 66 of the family's 138-position model. Rfam says of the family: U4 small nuclear RNA (U4 snRNA) is a component of the major U2-dependent spliceosome. The structure of U4 snRNA from yeast and human has been reported. U4 snRNA presents a k-turn RNA motif in the 5p-SL related to recognition of Snu13 protein. Lineage: Eukaryota; Metazoa; Chordata; Mammalia; Rodentia; Bathyergidae. The record is from Rfam by way of RNAcentral.